This 105-nucleotide small nuclear RNA is filed under the name Erinaceus europaeus (western European hedgehog). The record is from RNAcentral. Lineage: Eukaryota; Metazoa; Chordata; Mammalia; Eulipotyphla; Erinaceidae.
GUGCUUCAGCAGCAAAUAUACUAUUAAAAUUGGAGUAAUACAGAGAAUAUUAGCAUGGUCCAGCACAAGGAUGGCUUUCAAGGAAGGGGGUUGGGAUAUGUGUUG